CUGGACGAAUGCCGUGAAACCAUGCGAAUGCUUUGAAACGCCAAUGGCGCUCGAGGCCUCGGCCAAGAAGCAUGGUGCUGCCUCAGCGUGCGGCUACUACCCUCAACUAAGUUUCCUACACACAUGUAGGGGAUGCCGGUUGGAUCUGGCCGUCCGGUUUGCCUUUUAGGUUGCCGGUCAGCUGAAAUACAUUCACGCUCUGGGAGCUGCUUUCCUUCCGAGGAGAGGCGAGUUCCGAUUUGGUAGGUGACCUUUGCCGGUUGCAUGCCUUCGUUGCCCGCUAAGCUUCCCAGUAUGCGUUGUGCAGGACGCCUUUUGGCUUUCGACCUGAGGUCAGGCAAGAACACCCGCUGAACUUAAGCAUAUCAAUAAGCGGAGGAAAAGAAACUAACUAGGAUUCCCUUAGUAGCGGCGAGCGAACCGGGAUCAGCCCAACUUGUAAAUCAUUAGCCUUUGGCUAAUUGAAUUGUAGUCUCAAGAUGCGAUCUCUGCAGCUAGCAGUGCCCAAUUUUCCUUGGAAAAGGGAGUCAGAGAGGGUGAGAACCCCGUCGGCACUUGCCUCAGCUGCUCCACGAGGCGUUUUCUCAGAGUCGGGUUGCUUGGGAAUGCAGCCCUAAGUAGGUGGUAAUUCCCAUCUAAGGCUAANACUGACGGGAGACCGAUAGCGAACAAGUACCGUGAGGGAAAGAUGAAAAGAACUUUGAAAAGAGAGUCAAAAGUGCCUGAAAAUUGUUGAGGGGGGAAGGAAUUUGGAAGCCGUUUGGUGCGCCCGGGGCCUUAGUUU
This 784-nucleotide ribosomal RNA is filed under the name uncultured Trebouxia photobiont. RNAcentral's name for it is "eukaryotic LSU rRNA". The stretch from base 324 to 784 matches the Rfam family "Eukaryotic large subunit ribosomal RNA", at positions 1 to 457 of the family's 3401-position model. The record is from RNAcentral. Lineage: Eukaryota; Viridiplantae; Chlorophyta; Trebouxiophyceae; Trebouxiales; Trebouxiaceae.